RNAcentral lists this ribosomal RNA (251 nucleotides) under uncultured bacterium. RNAcentral describes it as "partial 16S ribosomal RNA". It matches the Rfam family "Bacterial small subunit ribosomal RNA", at positions 525 to 775 of the family's 1533-position model. The record is from RNAcentral.
ACGUAGGGUGCAAGCGUUGUCCGGAAUUACUGGGUGUAAAGGGAGCGCAGGCGGGAAGACAAGUUGGAAGUGAAAACCAUGGGCUCAACCCAUGAAUUGCUUUCAAAACUGUUUUUCUUGAGUAGUGCAGAGGUAGAUGGAAUUCCCGGUGUAGCGGUGGAAUGCGUAGAUAUCGGGAGGAACACCAGUGGCGAAGGCGGUCUACUGGGCAUCAACUGACGCUGAGGCUCGAAAGCAUGGGUAGCAAACAG